This 253-nucleotide ribosomal RNA is filed under the name uncultured bacterium. RNAcentral's name for it is "partial 16S ribosomal RNA". It matches the Rfam family "Bacterial small subunit ribosomal RNA", at positions 524 to 776 of the family's 1533-position model. The record is from RNAcentral.
UACGGAGGAUCCAAGCGUUAUCCGGAUUCAUUGGGUUUAAAGGGUGCGUAGGCGGAAUUGUAAGUCAGUGGUGAAAGCCUGCAGCUUAACUGCAGAAUUGCCAUUGAUACUGCAAAUCUUGAGUACAUUUGAUGUGGGCGGAAUGUGUCAUGUAGCGGUGAAAUGCUUAGAUAUGACACAGAACACCGAUUGCGAAGGCAGCUCACAAAACUGUAACUGACGCUGAGGCACGAAAGCGUGGGGAUCGAAUGGG